RNAcentral lists this long non-coding RNA (351 nucleotides) under Oryza sativa Indica Group (long-grained rice). Its description in RNAcentral is "lncRNA OsLiXu_Ung0044690". The record is from RNAcentral. Lineage: Eukaryota; Viridiplantae; Streptophyta; Magnoliopsida; Poales; Poaceae.
GGGAGGCAGAGGCGACGGCGCUCGGGACCUUCGAGCCUUCUCCGAACCUUCGAGACCCCCCCCCCCCCGGCGGGUACAUCGGCAGCCACGCCGUGCUGCAGCUGCUCCUCGCCGGCUUCCGCGCCAUCGUCGUCAACUUCCGCGCCGUCGUCGUCGUCGACAACCUCAACAACUCCUCCGAGCUCGCCGUGCACCGCGUCGCCGCCAUCGCCGGCGACCACUCCCGGAACCUCGCCUUCCACAAGGUCGGUCACCUGCAAAUGCUGCCCAUCCGCCUCCUCCUCCAUGGACCUUUGUUCAUUCUACUUGGUUAUACGGGAAAAUGCCAGCGUGAUUAUUAGCAUUUAUUGA